RNAcentral lists this ribosomal RNA (343 nucleotides) under uncultured Oscillospiraceae bacterium. RNAcentral's name for it is "bacterial SSU rRNA". It matches the Rfam family "Bacterial small subunit ribosomal RNA", at positions 1042 to 1382 of the family's 1533-position model. The record is from RNAcentral. Lineage: Bacteria; Bacillati; Bacillota; Clostridia; Eubacteriales; Oscillospiraceae.
UGCAUGGUUGUCGUCAGCUCGUGUCGUGAGAUGUUGGUUAAGUCCCGCAACGAGCGCAACCCCUGUGGUUAGUUUGCCAGCAAGUAGCGUUGGGCACUCUAGCCAGACUGCCGGUGAUAAAUCGGAGGAAGGUGGGGACGACGUCAAAUCAUCAUGCCCUUUUAUGUCCUGGGCUACACACGUACUACAAUGGCCGUUACAACGGGAAGCGAAGGAGCAAUCCGGAGCAAAUCCCUUAAAGGCGGUCCCAGUUCAGAUUGUGGGCUGAAACUCGCCCACAUGAAGGCGGAAUUGCUAGUAAUUGCAGAUCAGCAUGCUGCAGUCGAAUACGUUCCCGGGCCUU